This 606-nucleotide ribosomal RNA is filed under the name uncultured bacterium. RNAcentral describes it as "bacterial SSU rRNA". It matches the Rfam family "Bacterial small subunit ribosomal RNA", at positions 335 to 937 of the family's 1533-position model. The record is from RNAcentral.
CACCUACGGGAGGCUGCAGCAACGAAUAUUCCGCAAUGGGCGCAAGCCUGACGGAGCGACGCCGCGUGAAGGAUGAAGUCCUUCGGGAUGUAAACUUCGAUAGUCUGUGAGGAAGUAAGCCGGGUGAACAAUCCGGCGAGUUGACCAAUAGAUGAAAGGGGCUGCCAACUACGUGCCAGCAGCCGCGGUAAUACGUAGGCCCCAAGCGUUAUCCGGAUUUAUUGGGCGUAAAGGGUGCGUAGGUGGUUUAUCACAUCUUUGGUUAAAGUCCUAAGCUCAACUUAGGAAUUGCCAAGGAGAUGGAUAAACUAGAGAAUGCCAGAGGUGGCUGGAACUGCCGGUGUAGGGGUGAAAUCCGUUGAUAUCGGCAGGAACGCCAGAGGUGAAGGCAGUCAACUGGGGCAUUUCUGACGCUGAGAGACGAAAGCGUGGGUAGCAAAAAGGAUUAGAUACCCUUGUAGUCCACGCCCUAAACUAUGGACACUAGCUAUUUGAAGUGUCGACCCUUCAAGUGGCGAAGCUAACGCGUUAAGUGUCCUGCCUGGGAAGUACGGCCGCAAGGCUAAAACUCAAAAGAAUAGACGGGGCUUCACACAAGCGGUGGAG